This 427-nucleotide ribosomal RNA is filed under the name uncultured bacterium. RNAcentral's name for it is "partial 16S ribosomal RNA". It matches the Rfam family "Bacterial small subunit ribosomal RNA", at positions 355 to 774 of the family's 1533-position model. The record is from RNAcentral.
UGGGGAAUAUUGCACAAUGGGCGCAAGCCUGAUGCAGCCAUGCCGCGUGUAUGAAGAAGGCCUUCGGGUUGUAAAGUACUUUCAGCGCGGAGGAAGGCGUUGUGGUUAAUAACCGCAACGAUUGACGUUACUCGCAGAAGAAGCACCGGCUAACUCCGUGCCAGCAGCCGCGGUAAUACGGCGGGUGCAAGCGUUAAUGGGAAUUACUGGGCGUAAAGCGCACGCAGGCGGUCUGUCAAGUCGGAUGUGAAAUCCCCGGGCUCAACCUGGGAACUGCAUUCGAAACUGGCAGGCUAGAGUCUUGUAGAGGGGGGUAGAAUUCCAGGUGUAGCGGUGAAAUGCGUAGAGAUCUGGAGGAAUACCGGUGGCGAAGGCGGCCCCCUGGACAAAGACUGACGCUCAGGUGCGAAAGCGUGGGGAGCAAACA